GGGGACAGCAGGGCUUGUUGGAGGCAGUGUUAAGUAGACAGUUUGGGAGCUGGCUGUGAGUUUUAGCAGCUGAUUCAACCAAACCACCUGCGCAUAGCCUGGUUCCACCUUGUUUUGCCUACUGCAAAUUAAGAGAGAGCAGAAUGCCAUUUUAAAGUCAAUUAUGCUAAAAGUCUUGCAACUUGUCCAAAAUAUGAAGCUUCUGAGAUGUGGAGCAUGGAAGAGACAGAAGAAAUUCAUCUCUGAUUCAUCACCAAAUUGUUUGAUACACCAAGCAUCCAGCUUCAACCAAAAAGAAACAAGUGAGCUUCCAAAAAUGUUCCUUUGUAGAGAAGGCAGAAAUGUCAGUAAGAAAUUGGCAGGGUUCUACAGCCGUGGUCUGGCUUUGCCAUUCAAAGUUUAUCAUUCUGCUGAGAAAGCCUUGAGGAUUCCCAAAGCAGUGAUGUGAAA
Non-coding RNA from Cyanistes caeruleus (blue tit), 450 nucleotides. The record is from RefSeq and is a predicted model, not a curated record. NCBI's taxonomy places the organism in Eukaryota, Metazoa, Chordata, Aves, Passeriformes, Paridae.